CCUACGGGAGGCAGCAGUAGGGAAUAUUGGGCAAUGGAGGCAACUCUGACCCAGCCAUGCCGCGUGCAGGAAGACGGUCCUCUGGAUUGUAAACUGCUUUUGAAUGGGAAGAAUGUGCUCCUUGCGAGGGGUAAUGACGGUACCAUUAGAAUAAGCCACGGCUAACUACGUGCCAGCAGCCGCGGUAAUACGUAGGUGGCGAGCGUUAUCCGGAUUUAUUGGGUUUAAAGGGUGCGUAGGCGGCUUAAUAAGUCGGUGGUUAAAAGUAGCAGCUUAACUGUUUUACAUGCCAUCGAUACUGUUGAGCUUGAGAUAUUUGGAGGCAGCUAGAAUUUCCGGUGUAGCGGUGAAAUGCAUAGAUACCGGAAGGAAUACCAAUUGCGAAGGCAGGUUGCUACGAAUAAACUGACGCUGAUGCACGAAAGCGUGGGGAUCAAACAGGAUUAGAUACCCUGGUAGUCCACGCCGUAAACGAUGAUUACUAGUUGUUGGGGUUUUAAGCCUUCAGUGACCAAGGGAAACCGAUAAGUAAUCCACCUGGGGAGUACGCCGGCAACGGUGAAACUCAAAGGAAUUGACGG
RNAcentral lists this ribosomal RNA (581 nucleotides) under uncultured bacterium. Its description in RNAcentral is "bacterial SSU rRNA". It matches the Rfam family "Bacterial small subunit ribosomal RNA", at positions 338 to 916 of the family's 1533-position model. The record is from RNAcentral.